GGGCUCACACAAGCGGUGGAGGAUGUGGCUUAAUUCGAGGCUACGCGAAGAACCUUAUCCUAGUCUUGACAUGCUUAGGAAUCCAGCAGAAACGCUGGAGUGCCCGCAAGGGAGCCUUUGCACAGGUGCUGCAUGGCUGUCGUCAGCUCGUGUCGUGAGAUGUCGCGUUAAGUCGCUUAACGAGCGAAACCCUUGUCCUUAGUUGCCAGCGGGUAAAGCCGGGGACUCUAAGGAGACUGCCGGUGUUAAACCGGAGGAAGGUGGGGAUGACGUCAAGUCCUCAUGGCCUUUAUGACUAGGGCUGCACACGUCCUACAAUGGCAUGCACAAAGGGAUGCAAACUCGCGAGAGCCAGCAAACCCCAAAAAACAUGCCUCAGUUCGGAUUGUAGGCUGAAACCCGCCUACAUGAAGCUGGAAUCGCUAGUAAUCGCGGGUCAGAAUACCGCGGUGAAUGUGUUCCUGAGCCUU
Molecule: ribosomal RNA, 470 nt
Filed under: uncultured bacterium
Lineage: Bacteria
Description: bacterial SSU rRNA
Rfam family: Bacterial small subunit ribosomal RNA
Source: RNAcentral